AGGACGUGGUUGCCCGUCCCUCCCUUGGGGAUGCCGUCGACUGCACCCGCCUCGCCUGUGCCUGGCCUGGCUCGCCUCGUGGCGUGGGGGCGAAAAGGGACAGGCGGCGGAGCGCUUACCGGCCGUGGACAGGAGCUGCCCUAAGGGAAGCUGGAAUGGCCAGAGAAAGGUGAAGAAGAAGAAGAAGAAGAAGAGAUGGAAGGCUCUCCGGCCGGCAGCUGCCUCCCGCUGCAGGCAAGAGAGCGCCUGCCUCGCCGGGCGGAGGACAGCCGAGCGACCGGAGUGACAGCAAAGGAAAGGCGGAGAGCGGGAGAAAGAAGCGUCUGCGCUGGCAAGCUCUCCCGGCAGCGCCGAGAGCCAGAGCUGCGGUGCCGCCGCGCCGAUGCUCCGUACGUUCGCAGUAACGGGUAGAGCGGAAGGCUCUGUGGCCAGGGAAGAGCGGCACGGACACGUUCCUGCUCGCUCCGUUGCACCGGAAUUUCGACGGCUGGGUUCGGCCGCUAAAUUGAUGGCGCUACCGGAAGAAAUUUCAGAAAAAUAUGAGAAAAGCUCUGUCCAGAGAUAUGGAGACGAAAUCAGUUGUACCUCACCCUGUGACACCGGAAGACAUUGAGUAACUCGUCCUGCAGCUGGCUCCUCGGUUUUGGCGGCAGCCUGCACAUAGCAGCCCAGCUCUCCAGCAGCCUGACGGACCGACCGUGUGUCUGUUCCACGCCGGACUGGCGAGCGUGGCUCUGGGUAGGACAGCCGAGGUGCCCCAGGGCCGGGCCCCGAGCCCCGGUGCGGAGUCUCUCCCGGGACCGGCUCUGUGUGUGACUGAAUAAACGCUUGCGGUCUCUU
Grus americana (Whooping crane) is the source of this 840-nucleotide long non-coding RNA. RefSeq lists it as uncharacterized. The record is from RefSeq and is a predicted model, not a curated record. The transcript has 5 exons. Lineage: Eukaryota; Metazoa; Chordata; Aves; Gruiformes; Gruidae.